This 305-nucleotide ribosomal RNA is filed under the name uncultured bacterium. RNAcentral's name for it is "bacterial SSU rRNA". It matches the Rfam family "Bacterial small subunit ribosomal RNA", at positions 28 to 335 of the family's 1533-position model. The record is from RNAcentral.
GACGAACGCUGGCGGCGUGCUUAACACAUGCAAGUCGAGCGGUAAGGCCCUUUCGGGGGUACACGAGCGGCGAACGGGUGAGUAACACGUGGGUGACCUGCCCUCAGCUCUGGGAUAAGCCUGGGAAACCGGGUCUAAUACCGGAUAUGACUCCAUGACGCAUGUUGUGGGGUGAAAGCCUUGUGUGGCUAGAGAUGGGCCCGCGGCCUAUCAGCUUGUUGGUGGGGUGAUGGCCUACCAAGGCGACGACGGGUAGCCGGCCUGAGAGGGCGACCGGCCACACUGGGACUGAGACACGGCCCAGA